CACAUACUCAGUCACUGACUCCAAAUGAUCUGCAGUGCUUCUUCUGUGCGUUCGAGCGAUGUGAUGUUUCACUCGACUGUUCGGGAGAUAAGACUCUGUGUAUUCAAGGAACAUUGAACAAUGAAGCCUAUGGCUGUGUAUCACCAAGUGUGUGUACUGCAAGUAGAAGGCUGGGAGAACUACCAUUAUUACCAGAGUUAGGAACCUUCAGCUCUGGACCAAACUGUUGUGAUACAAAUGACUGUAAUGAUGGAACUACAACUACCACACCUCCAACUACAACUACCCCACCUCCAACUACAACUAUCACACCUCCAACUACAACUACCACACCUCCAACUACAACUACCACACCUCCAACCACAACUACCACACCUCCAACCACAACUACCACACCUCCAACUACAACUACCACACCUCCUACUACAACUACCACACCUCCAACCACAACUACCACACCUCCAACUACAACUACCACACCUCCUACUACAACUACCACACCUCCAACUACAACUACCACACCUCCAACUACAACUACCACACCUCCAACCACGACUACCACAGCAGCACCAACCACAACAACUAUGACCCCCCCAAACACAGGUAUUCAAUGUAAUGAAGGAGUUGGUUUGAUUUACAAUUUGUGAUUUAAAUUUAUUCUUUCAUUGGGAAUUUUACAAAUACAGUAAUGAAUGAAAACAUGUCAAAUUAAAUGAGGUUUUAACUAUAAACGCUGAAAACCUUUUAACCUCACAUUUUUAACAUUCACACAAAGUCCUGCUACGUUUUUGUUCUCAUUCCAGGACUUCAGUGUCUAUCCUGCUCAGAUUCAUCUUGUUCCAGUCCAGAGUCAGUGACUUGUUCUUCAGAGACUAUGUGUAUAACAGCUUCCAUUAAAGAUCUUUCAUCAGGAGAGGAGAGUUUUUUCAGAGGAUGUGCUCCUCCCACACUGUGUCCACACAACGGCACCUUUAAGUUUUCUACUGAUGUGGUGGAGUCACAUAAAAUCAUAGAUGCUGAAUGCUGCGACACAAACAACUGUAACUCAGAAACUCUGACUGUUCCUGUUCAACAGGCAGAAAACGGCCUUGACUGUUUCUUCUGUAUCUCUGUCUCCAACUCUUGCUCGUUUACUGUCCAUUGUGAAGGAGCACAGGACCGCUGCUUUGAUGGAUAUGUCUCAACUGAUACUGGAGUUCAACCUGUUGCUGGCUGCACAUCAACAGAUGUGUGUGAAAUUGCUCCUGAUCACGGUGUACUGCCAUUUAUGGAAGGAGUGGGAAAUCUAACCAGUGGACCAACCUGUUGUGGAACAAACCAUUGCAAUGAUUUCACAGAACCAACAACAGCAGGACCAACUACAACUCCUAUGAGUACAACAGUUCCAGGACUUCAGUGUCUAUCCUGCUCAGGAUCAUCUUGUUCCAGUCCAGUGUCAGUGACUUGUUCUUCAGAGACUAUGUGUGUAACAGCUUCCAUUAAAGAUCUUUCAUCAGGAGAUGAGAGUUUUUUCAGAGGAUGUGCUCCUCCCACACUGUGUCCACACAACGGCACCUUUAAGUUUUCUACUGAUGUGGUGGAUUCAUAUAAAAUCAUAGAUGCUGAAUGCUGCGACACAAACAACUGUAACUCAGAAACUCUGACUGUUCCUGUUCAACAGGCAGAAAACGGCCUUGACUGUUUCUUCUGUAUCUCUGUCUCCAACUCUUGCUCAUUUACUGUCCAUUGUGAAGGAGCACAGGACCGCUGCUUUGAUGGAUAUGUCUCAACUGAUAAUGGAGUUCAACCUGUUGCUGGCUGCACAUCAACAGAUGUGUGUGAAAUUGCUCCUGAUCACGGUGUACUGCCAUUUAUGGAAGGAGUGGGAAAUCUAACCAGUGGACCAACCUGUUGUGGAACAAACCACUGCAAUGAUUUCACAGAACCAACAACAGCAGGACCAACUACAACUCCUAUUAUUACAACAGUUCCAGGACUUCAGUGUCUAUCCUGCUCAGGAUCAUCUUGUUCCAGUCCAGUGUCAGUGACUUGUUCUUCAGAGACUAUGUGUGUAACAGCUUCCAUUAAAGAUGUUUUAUCUGGAGAUGAGAGUUUUUUCAGAGGAUGUGCUCCUCCCACACUGUGUCCACACAACGGCACCUUUAAGUUUUCUACUGAUGUGGUGGAGUCAUAUAAAAUCAUAGAUGCUGAAUGCUGCGACACAAACAACUGUAACUCAGAAACUCUGACUGUUCCUGUUCAACAGGCAGAAAAUGUCCUUGACUGUUUCUUCUGUAUCUCUGGCACCGACAUUUGUGUGUUUACUGUCCAUUGUGAAGGAGCACAGGACCGCUGCUUUGAUGGAUAUGGUGGGUUUCUAAACUAG
RNAcentral lists this long non-coding RNA (2365 nucleotides) under Gouania willdenowi (blunt-snouted clingfish). RNAcentral describes it as "lncRNA (ENSGWIG00000004208.1)". The record is from RNAcentral. Lineage: Eukaryota; Metazoa; Chordata; Actinopteri; Blenniiformes; Gobiesocidae.